This 352-nucleotide unclassified non-coding RNA is filed under the name soil metagenome. RNAcentral describes it as "partial contains 5.8S ribosomal RNA, internal transcribed spacer 2, and large subunit ribosomal RNA". The stretch from base 1 to 120 matches the Rfam family "5.8S ribosomal RNA", at positions 35 to 154 of the family's 154-position model. The record is from RNAcentral.
GAUGAAGAACGUAGCGAAAUGCGAUAAGUAAUGUGAAUUGCAGAAUUCAGUGAAUCAUCGAAUCUUUGAACGCACAUUGCGCCCGCCAGUAUUCUGGCGGGCAUGCCUGUUCGAGCGUCAUUACAACCCUCAGGCCCCCGGGCCUGGCGUUGGGGAUCGGCGGAGCCCCCCGUGGGCACACGCCGUCCCCCAAAUACAGUGGCGGUCCCGCCGCAGCUUCCAUCGCGUAGUAGCUAACACCUCGCGACUGGAGAGCGGCGCGGCCACGCCGUAAAACACCCAACUCUUCUGAAGUUGACCUCGAAUCAGGUAGGAAUACCCGCUGUACUUAAGCAUAUCAAUAAGCGGAGGA